This 1365-nucleotide unclassified non-coding RNA is filed under the name Amphibalanus amphitrite. Its description in RNAcentral is "j domain-containing protein-like, transcript variant X2". The record is from RNAcentral. Lineage: Eukaryota; Metazoa; Arthropoda; Thecostraca; Balanomorpha; Balanidae.
GCAGAAAUUACCACUCUUUAGAAGCUGAGAGAAACCAGCAUGGAUGCCAUUCUGAAGCCUGGACCAAAAGAAGAGGACCUAUAUGAUCUUUUGAAUUGUCAUCCAUCUUCCACAGUGGAACAAAUUCAGACAGAGUACAAAAUACUGGCUCUUCAGUUUCAUCCAGACAAGAACCCUGAUGAUACCACAGCAGAGAAAAGAUUUCAGCAGUUACAGUUUGCCAAGGAGACGCUGUGUGACGAGGAGCGACGCGCUACCUACGACAAGUGGCGCGCCAGUGGACUGACCAUCCCGUUCAAGGAGUGGCUGGCCAUGAGGGACUCGGUGAAAACGUCAAUGCACUGGGCGACGCCGAAGACUGCCGACCGUAUGCUACCUCCGGGCGCCGGGUCAUCGGACGAGUCCACUUCAGCUCCGAGGGGAGGUCAUACUGCGGGCGAGUCCACUCUAGGGGGAGGUUCCACUGUGGGUCAGUCCGUUCGCUCGGACCGACCAUACCUAGCACAGUGGCGCAGAUCCGAAGGAAGUGAUCUGGUACGGAAGUUCAGGAAUUAUGAGAUAUAACAGCCAUGCAGAAUUGUCUAGCAAGGCUCCACUCAGAAGCGUCUUCGUGAACAAAAGAGGCGACACUUCUCACUCACGCUUACAAUUUGUGUUAUAUUUUGUAAGAUUUGUUUUUAUUUUAGGGUCCAAUUAAUGUUGUGACAUUACGUUUUUCAAUGCGGUCGAUGUUUGUAUUCCUUUCGGAUUGACCUAGGUGCGUUGUACUCAACAUUACGUUAUCCGUGCUGUUUCCAGUAUGAGGCAUACUGCCGGAAUAAUACUCAUCCAUUUGUUUGUCUAAAUGCUUCAACAUGUGUGCAAUAUUUGGUUGUUCGUCAGUAGUUGGCGCAACGGGAAUCUCAAGGCAGCUACGUAUUGUGAAUGUACUAAUUUCCGCCUUAUUACGGAAAGGUGAUGUUUCGAGAUAUUUAUGGUACUACCUACCUAGUACCUAUAUAUUGUGUGGCUACUGGCCAGUUAGCUGUUAGCAGUUAGGGUACGAGAUUACAGUAUCUAAUGAAUUUUGUGCCAUGUAACAUAUGGGACCAAGAUUGUGUAUGGAAGAUUGCUUAUUUUUCGCCAUGUUCGGUGUAUGUGGCCAGCUGACUGUUAGGUUACGAUAUUAGAGUAUCUUAUGAAUGUUGUGCCAAGUUGUAACCAAUGGGACCAAGGUCUUGUGCCGAUGAUUGCGUAUUUCUCGCUAUAGGUGCUCGGUGAUAUCUUGCGAGUUUUGGUGAAGGAAUCUGAGCAUCAUAGAUAGUUAUGUCUACUUACGUGUGUAAUUUGUGCAAUCCGUUGUUAAUAUAAGUGAUUAAUCGCGUU